CAAACCGCAACCUAAGCAGGCAGUAGGAGGAGGAGGAGUAAAAUCCCCACAAAAAUAUGAGCGCUAGCUAGAAUACUCCUACGCUAGCAGCCGAGGAGGGAGAGAAGUGGGAGUAGUAUACUCCUAGCCUGGUAUUCUUCUCCCGUCCACCCUCUCUCUUUCUCUCUUGUUCCUUGGAGUUGUUGUCCUGGGACGGAGCUUAGAAAAAGGCCCCGCCUUUUGGCUCAUUCCUCACCUGCUCUGCUCUGCUCCAGCUUCAGGGACGCGAGCUGCUCAGCGUGUGAGAGGGAGAGGGGGAGAGAGGGAUGGCGCGCGUGGAGAAGGUCGCCGGCGGCGAAGGGCAGGUGGAGGUGGUGGUCGGGGUGGACGGCAAGGGGGCGAUAGAGUGCCGGAUAUGCCAGGAGGAGGGGGAGGAGGCCGCCAUGGACUCCCCCUGCGCCUGCACUGGCACGCUCAAGUUCGCGCACAGGAAGUGCAUACAGAGGUGGUGCGACAAGAAGGGGAACAUCACAUGUGAAAUCUGCAACCAGGUUUACUCUCCGAACUAUGUUCUCCCUCCAACCAAGUGCUGUUCAGAUGAAAUGGGCAUGGAUCUUAGGCAAAGCUGGGUUGGACGGAUUGAUCCCCAUGAUUCCCAUUUCCUGGCGAUCGCCAUCGCGGAGCAGCAGCUGCUGAACGCUGAAUUCGAUGACUGCAUGACCUCAAAUUCGAGUGGCGCCACAUGCUGCCGGUCUAUUGCUCUAAUUUUGAUGUUCCUUCUGCUCGUGCGCCAUGUAACCGUGAUCGUGCGAGAUGCUAGCAUGCUACAAGAUGCGACGGUUCUGUUCAGCGCAAUUCUUCAGUUCGUGGGAUUCUUUCUUCCGUGUUAUGUCAUAGCGCGCUUCUGCUAUGCUUUUCAACACCGGAGGCGAAGACAGGUUUAGGGGCAUGCCUGAACCCGGAACCGGACUUUGUCGCGCAAACCGGACCCCUACUUGAGAAGAGAAAGGCGGCGAAGCUUGCGAAGAAGCGAAGCUUCUUCUUCUCCCCCUUGGCCCCGGCGAAUCAUGGUUUCAUGAAAAAUGUAGGCGAAAAGUAGAUGGAUUGUGGUGGACGGAGUAGCUGCAACGGCACCCGUCAAGCUCAACUGUACAUAUGAGAGUCAGUUUACAGCUACAGAUGCAAGUUGAAGUCGAUGACAUUUUCGCUCCUUAAAAUAGUGGGUCGGUCGCCAUUGGGGUGGAUGGGCGGGUCGAUGCGGGUUGAAAUUCGCGGCCCCCCGCAUUCAUGUCUCGGAGGACGCAGCCGUGCUGGUGGCGAUGGCUCGGGGUUCGCCCCUCCCCGAAUCGAUCGCCUCCGUGUUUGGUCGGCUGCCGCGGUUCGCCUCGCGGAAUUGCUGGAGACGUCCCGGGGCGGGUCAAAACCAGCCGCCUCUCUCCUCUCCUCUCCUCCCACCCUCUUAGAUCGAAUCUACACCUACCUUGGAUCUGGCAGGCAGGUGAUGGGUCGAAUCUAAAUAGGCUUAUCAUACGUGCUCUAACUCGGAAAAUGC
RNAcentral lists this ribosomal RNA (1531 nucleotides) under Triticum aestivum (bread wheat). RNAcentral's name for it is "partial small subunit ribosomal RNA". The record is from RNAcentral. Lineage: Eukaryota; Viridiplantae; Streptophyta; Magnoliopsida; Poales; Poaceae.